AGCCUCCCUGCCCUAGAACUGCAGGGCUCAUUGUUCUGCACCAGAGAAGCCACAUCACAGUGGGAAGGACCCUGGAGGACACAGCUGCCCAGUGCCCAGCCACUUUAGGGCUAAAGCAAAGGUCCCAAGUGCCUUAAAACUGGCCCCCAAGAAGUCCUACAGGAAAUUUGUGCUGGGGCAGAAAGAUCAGGUUCCUCUCUCCCCAGGCUCUGUCAGCUACCUUGUGCCUGAGCUGGGCUGCACCCCCAGGCCACAUGGAUGUGGAGUGCAGACUAGCACUUCACAGGGUAUAGCUUGUGGCACACACGUGCCAGGUCCAUUUUCCAGGCCACACGUGCAGGCUGGAGGUUUGAAGACUUCCUGGAAGGAAACAAAUGGCUGAGUCUCAUCAGCAAGCAAAGGAUGCUCAUUUGAAAGAAUGAUUCCCACUUCACACCUUACUGUAAUUUUCCAAUUAAUUGUGAUUUAAAUAUGUUAAUGAAGCUAACUAGGUUGAGCAUCAGUCUAAAGACUCUCUGAAUAAUGAAGCAAGAACUCCUGGUACAAGCACAAAGGUGGAAACUCUUCUGAACAGCCUCAGAAUGAGACAGGCACACAGCCCUGAGCUGAGCACUUGGCAGCCAUACCCAGUAGUGGCCCGGGGGCCACAUAAGGUGUCCUGACUCUAAGUACAAAGAACUCAUUCCUGUCCGGGAAACACAUGAACUUGGACACUGCUUAAAAAAAGGAAAGAGCCCUCCCAUCCCCAACUGGAGCCCAGUACAGGUAGGACAGAGCUGGCCCUCCAUUUGGAAAUACUUCACUUUUCCCUCUCCUGGAGAGACAAGACAAAGGGCCUUAGACAAAGGGGGGGAGCUCCUGUGUUGGAGAAAUCCACAAGCCACCCUGAUUCUGGUAUCCCAACCCAGGGCACCCUCUAUGGCAGUGAUCCCUCAGACCACGCCUGAAAGAUUACAUGAAAGCUUGGCUCUGAGCCUUCCCCAGGGUCACUGCAACGUGGCACCCACCCUUCUGACCUCUCUAUCUCUCUCCCAUCUGUAA
Molecule: long non-coding RNA, 1041 nt
Filed under: Fukomys damarensis (Damara mole-rat)
Lineage: Eukaryota; Metazoa; Chordata; Mammalia; Rodentia; Bathyergidae
Description: lncRNA (ENSFDAG00000022477.1)
Source: RNAcentral